RNAcentral lists this ribosomal RNA (452 nucleotides) under uncultured Rhodococcus sp. Its description in RNAcentral is "bacterial SSU rRNA". It matches the Rfam family "Bacterial small subunit ribosomal RNA", at positions 933 to 1382 of the family's 1533-position model. Lineage: Bacteria; Bacillati; Actinomycetota; Actinomycetes; Mycobacteriales; Nocardiaceae. The record is from RNAcentral.
UGGAGCAUGUGGUUUUAAAUUCGAAGCAACGCGAAGAACCUUACCAGGCCUUGACAUGCAGAGAACUUUCAGAGAUGGAUUGGUGCCUUCGGGAACUCUGACACAGGUGCUGCAUGGCUGUCGUCAGCUCGUGUCGUGAGAUGUUGGGUUAAGUCCCGCAACGAGCGCAACCCUUGUCUUAUGUUGCCAGCACGUGAUGGUGGGGACUCGUAAGAGACUGCCGGGGUCAACUCGGAGGAAGGUGGGGACGACGUCAAGUCAUCAUGCCCCUUAUGUCCAGGGCUUCACACAUGCUACAAUGGCCAGUACAGAGGGCUGCGAGACCGUGAGGUGGAGCGAAUCCCUUAAAGCUGGUCUCAGUUCGGAUCGGGGUCUGCAACUCGACCCCGUGAAGUCGGAGUCGCUAGUAAUCGCAGAUCAGCAACGCUGCGGUGAAUACGUUCCCGGGCCUU